UAGCUUGCUAUUUGGCGUCGAGCGGCGGACGGGUGAGUAAUGCUUAGGAAUUUGCCCAGUUGAGGGGGAUAACCAUUGGAAACGAUGGCUAAUACCGCAUACGCCCUACGGGGGAAAGGAGGGGACCUUCGGGCCUUCCGCGAUUGGAUAAGCCUAAGUGAGAUUAGCUAGUUGGUGGGGUAAUGGCUCACCAAGGCGACGAUCUCUAGCUGGUCUGAGAGGAUGAUCAGCCACACUGGAACUGAGACACGGUCCAGACUCCUACGGGAGGCAGCAGUGGGGAAUAUUGCACAAUGGGCGAAAGCCUGAUGCAGCCAUGCCGCGUGUAUGAAGAAGGCCUUCGGGUUGUAAAGUACUUUCAGUCGUGAGGAAGGUGUUGUACUUAAUACGUGCAACAUUUGACGUUAGCGACAGAAGAAGCACCGGCUAACUCCGUGCCAGCAGCCGCGGUAAUACGGAGGGUGCGAGCGUUAAUCGGAAUUACUGGGCGUAAAGCGCAUGCAGGUGGUUUGUUAAGUCAGAUGUGAAAGCCCGGGGCUCAACCCCGGAAGGUCAUUUGAAACUGGCAAACUAGAGUACUGUAGAGGGGGGUAGAAUUUCAGGUGUAGCGGUGAAAUGCGUAGAGAUCUGAAGGAAUACCAGUGGCGAAGGCGGCCCCCUGGACAGAUACUGACACUCAGAUGCGAAAGCGUGGGGAGCAAACAGGAUUAGAUACCCUGGUAGUCCACGCCGUAAACGAUGUCUACUUGGAGGUUGCGGUCUUGAACUGUGGCUUUCGGAGCUAACGCGUUAAGUAGACCGCCUGGGGAGUACGGUCGCAAGAUUAAAACUCAAAUGAAUUGACGGGGGCCCGCACAAGCGGUGGAGCAUGUGGUUUAAUUCGAUGCAACGCGAAGAACCUUACCUACUCUUGACAUCCUCAGAAGAGAAAAGAGAUUUUCUUGUGCCUUCGGGAACUGAGAGACAGGUGCUGCAUGGCUGUCGUCAGCUC
Molecule: ribosomal RNA, 991 nt
Filed under: Vibrio parahaemolyticus
Lineage: Bacteria; Pseudomonadati; Pseudomonadota; Gammaproteobacteria; Vibrionales; Vibrionaceae
Description: bacterial SSU rRNA
Rfam family: Bacterial small subunit ribosomal RNA
Source: RNAcentral